RNAcentral lists this ribosomal RNA (391 nucleotides) under uncultured soil bacterium. RNAcentral's name for it is "bacterial SSU rRNA". It matches the Rfam family "Bacterial small subunit ribosomal RNA", at positions 26 to 418 of the family's 1533-position model. The record is from RNAcentral.
AGAUUGAACGCUGGCGGCAUGCCUUACACAUGCAAGUCGAACGGCAGCACGGGAGCAAUCCUGGUGGCGAGUGGCGAACGGGUGAGUAAUAUAUCGGAACGUGCCCAGUAGUGGGGGAUAGCCCGGCGAAAGCCGGAUUAAUACCGCAUACGACCUACGGGUGAAAGCGGGGGAUCGCAAGACCUCGCGCUAUUGGAGCGGCCGAUAUCAGAUUAGCUUGUUGGUGGGGUAAAAGCCUACCAAGGCGACGAUCUGUAGCUGGUCUGAGAGGACGACCAGCCACACUGGGACUGAGACACGGCCCAGACUCCUACGGGAGCAGCAGUGGGGAAUUUUGGACAAGUGGGCGCAAGCCUGACUCCAGCCAUGCCGCGUGUGUGAAGAAGGCCUU